GAUGAACGCUGGCGGCGUGCUUAACACAUGCAAGUCGAACGAAGUGUUUAUUCAAAGUUCUUCGGGAUAGAGAAUAAAUUACUUAGUGGCGGACGGGUGAGAAAGCGUGGGGUAACUGGCCCAAACAAGGGGGAAAAAAGUGGGAACGAACGGCAAUAACGGAAAAAGACCCAGGCACGCAAGGGGGAGGGGGAAAAAGAUUUAUCGGUGUGAGAUGGACCUGCGUCUGAUUAGAUAGUUGGUGGGGUAGAAGCCUACCAAGUCAACGAUCAGUAGCCGACCUGAGAGGGUGAUCGGCCACAUUGGGACUGAGACACGGCCCAAACUCCUACGGGAGGCAGCAGUGGGGAAUAUUGGACAAUGGGGGAAACCCUGAUCCAGCAACGCCGCGUGAGUGAAGAAGUAUUUCGGUAUGUAAAGCUCUAUCAGCAGGGAAGAAAAUGACGGUACCUGACUAAGAAGCCCCGGCUAACUACGUG
This 479-nucleotide ribosomal RNA is filed under the name uncultured bacterium. RNAcentral's name for it is "partial 16S ribosomal RNA". It matches the Rfam family "Bacterial small subunit ribosomal RNA", at positions 28 to 507 of the family's 1533-position model. The record is from RNAcentral.